RNAcentral lists this long non-coding RNA (1033 nucleotides) under Olea europaea subsp. europaea. The record is from RNAcentral. Lineage: Eukaryota; Viridiplantae; Streptophyta; Magnoliopsida; Lamiales; Oleaceae.
CUCCAAAUAUGGUAUCCACCUUGUAGAUAGAAACCUUAUCCUAGGUUUGUCGAUUUUUUCGGUGCCUACACCCUUCCCUGGGCCUCUCCGUAUCAUGCUCCCUUCGUCGUGGGGAAACAUCCCUUUGAUGGGGGGCGACCUCACACCCACGUCGAUUGUCGUGUCUGAGCGAGGGCCUGCUCGCCUGGGACGAUUCACUUCUGUCCCUAGGGGGUUCUAGCCGGGAGCGGUGCGCAUAGUCUCGACAAUCUGCUAUGUCGUGUCCGUAGGAUCAGUGGUAUAGACAGUAUCCUGGUGGGUUUUGAUUUGACCUAUUUCUAGGUCCAGAGCACCGGCCUCGACCUCUCUUUCUACAGGAUCCUUGUAGGGUUUCCAUUUGCCGGGUGUCAGUAAUUGGGUUGAUAUCCUCAUAUGCCAAGGUAGGAACCGCGUUCAAAGUGGUGGUGGCAAUUGCUUGGCUAGAACUCUCAUUUCCAGUCUGGUUCAUUUGGUAGUCCAUCAGGUGGGAGGUCGGUCCUCUAGCGCACUGCCUUUGAAGAGGCGGGAGGCCUCUACUUGCCCUGUUCCUAUGUUCAAUCAAUUCUUCAUUGAUGAUUUCCCGCCUCAUCAUCUCGAGUAGGGCAUCAUAGGUGGUGGGAUCUUAAUUUUGCACGUCCCUCCAGAAUAGGGUAUUCAUGUUCAAACCUCCUCUUAAUGCGGAUAGUGCCUCACGGUCGGUGACUUACACACAAUACGUCAUCUCAUUGGUGAAGCAUGAUAGGAAGCUCUUUAGGGACUCCCCAUGUGCUUAUCUCAUGUCUUGGAGACGUUGGAUGGGGGCCUCUCCUUCUUUGCUUAUCGUGAACCUUUUCAAGAAUGCUGUCUUGAACUCGGGCCAACUUCUUAUGCUCCCAGGUGGUAACCUGCUAUAUCAAAUUUCAGUCGCUCCACUAAGUCUCAAAUGGAAAGCUCUGCACUUCACAGCUGGGAUGGCGUCCCUUAGGCUCAUGUGAGUUUUAUAAGCAUUCAAGUGCUUCUUUAGGUCACCUCUUUC